Pipra filicauda (Wire-tailed manakin) is the source of this 327-nucleotide long non-coding RNA. RefSeq lists it as uncharacterized. The transcript is spliced from 3 exons. The record is from RefSeq and is a predicted model, not a curated record. NCBI's taxonomy places the organism in Eukaryota, Metazoa, Chordata, Aves, Passeriformes, Pipridae.
CAUUUAUGUCUUCAACGGGCUCCAGGGAAAGUGUCCUGUGAGGGUCAGCACAAGUGGAUGAAGGGGAAGGAACCAGGCUCCUGACAGGAGGAGAAGAGAGAAUCCAGGAUGAGGGCAUAGAAGGAGUCUGCAAGGCUGGACUGUGGAUCCUCUUGACAAGGAGAAUGAAUGACUGUUAUUCACAGUGGGAAUUAGCACCAGCUGCAUGCAUAGUAGCCAUGAGAUAUCACCAGGAGUAAAGGGAGUUCUGUAAAAUUAGGGAAAAGAAGAGAUUCUACGGUAAAAAGUCCAUAAAGCACCAGCACAUCCUGGUUUACCAUGUCCCUA